RNAcentral lists this ribosomal RNA (253 nucleotides) under uncultured bacterium. RNAcentral describes it as "partial 16S ribosomal RNA". It matches the Rfam family "Bacterial small subunit ribosomal RNA", at positions 524 to 776 of the family's 1533-position model. The record is from RNAcentral.
UACAGAGGGUGCAAGCGUUGUUCGGAAUUAUUGGGCGUAAAGAGCUCGUAGGCGGUCUGUCGCGUCGGCUGUGAAAACCUGGGGCUUAACUCCGGGCCUGCAGCCGAUACGGGCAGACUAGAGUUCGGCAGGGGAGACUGGAAUUCCUGGUGUAGCGGUGAAAUGCGCAGAUAUCAGGAGGAACACCGGUGGCGAAGGCGGGUCUCUGGGCCGAAACUGACGCUGAGGAGCGAAAGCGUGGGGAGCAAACAGG